RNAcentral lists this transfer RNA (87 nucleotides) under Thermoleophilia bacterium. RNAcentral describes it as "tRNA-OTHER". Lineage: Bacteria; Bacillati; Actinomycetota; Thermoleophilia. The record is from RNAcentral.
GGACGGUACCGUCAAGGCGACAAACCCGGUUCGGUAACCGGGGGCUUCGGUUUGCAACCGCUGGGGGUUCGAUUCCUCUACCGUCCG